UGGGGAAUCUUGGACAAUGGGGGCAACCCUGAUCCAGCGAUGCCGCGUGAGCGAAGAAGGCCUUAGGGUUGUAAAGCUCUUUCGCCCGCGACGAUGAUGACGGUAGCGGGAGAAGAAGCCCCGGCUAACUCCGUGCCAGCAGCCGCGGUAAUACGGAGGGGGCUAGCGUUGUCCGGAAUUACUGGGCGUAAAGCGCGCGUAGGCGGUCCACCAAGUCGGGGGUGAAAGCCCGGGGCUCAACCCCGGAAUGUCCUCCGAGACUGUUGGACUGGAGUUCGGGAGAGGAGAGCGUAAUUCCCAGUGUAGAGGUGAAAUUCGUAGAUAUUGGGAAGAACACCGGUGGCGAAGGCGGCUCUCUGGCCCGCAACUGACGCUGAGGCGCGAAAGCGUGGGGAGCAAACA
This 402-nucleotide ribosomal RNA is filed under the name uncultured bacterium. Its description in RNAcentral is "bacterial SSU rRNA". It matches the Rfam family "Bacterial small subunit ribosomal RNA", at positions 355 to 774 of the family's 1533-position model. The record is from RNAcentral.